Molecule: unclassified non-coding RNA, 442 nt
Filed under: Hevea brasiliensis (rubber tree)
Lineage: Eukaryota; Viridiplantae; Streptophyta; Magnoliopsida; Malpighiales; Euphorbiaceae
Source: RNAcentral
CCCGCCAAUACGAAAUCACAUUCUCUCCUCUCUCUCUCUUUCUCUCUCUGCUAUUAAUGAAAAGUUCUCAGUCCGUAUACGGUUGCCGGAACGCACGGUCCAGCGCACGGUCAACGCACGACCGCUUCUAUUACUCACCGAGCUCCUCAUACUCUGAUGCCUCCACCGUCAGGAAGCGGAAUUCGCUGGCAGUCGCUGCAAAAUCGGUGGCCGGAUUGUUCGUGACCUGCUUUACACCACCCGAGACGAUCAACUCCGAGAAUUUCGGAGAAUCUGAAGAGUUCAAACCUCCCUCUGUCUUUUCCGAUGCAACGGGAUCGAGCAGAGACAGAAGACGAACUUCAGGUAUCUAUGGCAGUCCUCAGAAUUCAACUCAUGGAAGAGAGCCUGGGAGUGUAAAAUUCACCAUGGAAGAAAUCUACAAAGCUACAAGGAACUUUUC